GUAGGGGCCUAGCGUUGUCCGGAAUUAUUGGGCGUAAAGAGCUCGUAGGUGGUUUGUUAAGUCUGUCGUGAAAUCCCCGGGCUCAACCUGGGAAUGGCGAUGGAUACUGGCAAGCUAGAGUGAGGUAGAGGAGAGUGGAAUUCCCGGUGUAGCAGUGAAAUGCGUAGAGAUCGGGGGGAACAUCAGUUGCGAAGGCGGCUCUCUGGACCAUCACUGACACUGAGGCACGAAAGCGUGGGGAGCAAACAGGAUUAGAUACCCUGGUAGUCCACGCCCUAAACGAUGCGAACUGGACGUUGGGCUCAAUUAGGAGCUCAGUGUCGAAGCUAACGCGUUAAGUUCGCCGCCUGGGGAGUACGGUCGCAAGACUG
Molecule: ribosomal RNA, 371 nt
Filed under: uncultured bacterium
Lineage: Bacteria
Description: bacterial SSU rRNA
Rfam family: Bacterial small subunit ribosomal RNA
Source: RNAcentral